This 293-nucleotide ribosomal RNA is filed under the name uncultured bacterium. Its description in RNAcentral is "partial 16S ribosomal RNA". It matches the Rfam family "Archaeal small subunit ribosomal RNA", at positions 455 to 747 of the family's 1478-position model. The record is from RNAcentral.
GUGCCAGCCGCCGCGGUAAUACCGGCAGCUCAAGUGUUGGCCACUCUUAUUGGGCCUAAAGCGUCCGUAGCUGGCCGCGCAAGUCCGUCGGGAAAUCCACCCGCCCAACGGGUGGGCGUCCGGUAGAAACUGGCCGGCUUGGAACCGGAAGGCUCAGAGAGUACGUCCGGGGUAGGAGUGAAAUCCCGUAAUCCCGGACGGACUACCGAUGGCGAAAGCACUCUGAGAAGACGGCUUCAACAGUGAGGGACGAAAGCUCGGGUCUCAAACCGGAUUAGAUACCCUGGUAGUCC